ACUCCUACGGGAGGCAGCAGUAGGGAAUCUUCCACAAUGGGCGCAAGCCUGAUGGAGCAACACCGCGUGAGUGAAGAAGGGUUUCGGCUCGUAAAGCUCUGUUGUUAAAGAAGAACACGUAUGAGAGUAACUGUUCAUACGUUGACGGUAUUUAACCAGAAAGUCACGGCUAACUACGUGCCAGCAGCCGCGGUAAUACGUAGGUGGCAAGCGUUAUCCGGAUUUAUUGGGCGUAAAGAGAGUGCAGGCGGUUUUCUAAGUCUGAUGUGAAAGCCUUCGGCUUAACCGGAGAAGUGCAUCGGAAACUGGAUAACUUGAGUGCAGAAGAGGUAGUGGAACUCCAUGUGUAGCGGUGGAAUGCGUAGAUAUAUAGGAAGAACACCAGUGGCGAAGGCGGCUACCUGGUCUGCAACUGACGCUGAGACUCGAAAGCAUGGGUAGCGAACAGGAUUAGAUACCCCUGGUAGGAUAGCG
RNAcentral lists this ribosomal RNA (474 nucleotides) under uncultured bacterium. RNAcentral's name for it is "bacterial SSU rRNA". It matches the Rfam family "Bacterial small subunit ribosomal RNA", at positions 335 to 801 of the family's 1533-position model. The record is from RNAcentral.